GGCAAAACGAGUGGGAGCAGGUCGAAGUAUUUCUUUUCCUUCAGUAAACUUUCUCUUCAAAUGCAAUGGGUAGCAAUGAUUGUAUAAGUAUUUUGUGAUUUUUGAUGCCUGAGAUACGACAUUACUAACUUCAUCAAGCUUACCAAUAUCAUGAAACAUUAGAUUAAUGCAAUGUCCUGCACAUGGAGACCAAAAUAAUGUUUGAAACUCUUAUUCCAAUAACCUACCAGCGGCAACAUAAUUUGCAGCAUUGUCUGUCACCAUAUGGACCAUAUAUUCUGAACUUACAAAUAACAUAACAUCUCAAAAUAAUUUGUACAACAUGUCAGCAGAUUUUGAUUCAUUUGAAGCAUCUACAGAUUUUAAGAAUAUUGUUCCAUUUGGACAAUAAACUAAAAAAUUAAUGAGAGUUCUUCUGCAUUGAUCUGUCCAACCGUCUGCCAUAAUUGUAGAACCUGUAGCCUUCCAUGUUGAACGAUAGUUUUCAAUGUAAUUCUGCACCUUCUUGACAUUUUUAGGCAAAAAAUAACCUCUAAGACUGUGAAAGUUUGGACCUUUAUAGCCAGGGCCCAUGCUAGCUAUGACAUCUAUACUUUGUUGAUAAUACACAGAAUUUAUAGCAUUGAAAGGAAUACACGAAUCGGUCAUCCACUUCGAUAGAGUAAGAUCACACUUUUCGAUGACUUCUUUGCUCUGAAGAACACGUUUGAUAGUAGGUUGGUUACCAGGACCUGUUCUUGGCAUGAAGUAAGAACCAAUCCCCUUUUGUUCUUUUAAGUGUUUAACUCCACUUUCCUUUCUUUCAUUUGUCCCAACAACUGUACCCUUUCCUUUAGAAUUAUGAGGGAUUUUUUCUUGAACAUCAUCAUCACCCAAAUCUCUAUACAUUUGCUCUUCUUUUUCCCGAUAGUAAGAACUAUGUGGGUUACACCCAUCAAGAAUUUUUUGAGUUUUACACUUCUUUGCAGCAAAGACGUCCAAGUUUUCUUUCAUUUGAAUCUAACAUCCGGAGGUACUUUACGACAUGAAUCAACGUCACCUUUCAUUCCCGCUAAGUGGUGUUUGACUCGAUUGAUACCACCUCCGACGAAAGUCUUUCCACAAUACAAGCAAAUAAGGUUUUUUUUUUGUUUAUAUUUCUAUUAUUACUAGCUUCUAAUAUCUCUUUACAAUGACCCCAUGCAAUAUCUAUUUUUCCUCUAGCACAAUUCUUUAGUGGAGAUGAACUAUGCGGUGUACUAUUAUCACCAAUGAACUAUACGAAGGAAAAAAAACUAUAUAUCAUGCUUGUUCACCAUUGGAAAAUUAAUGAACAUAGGCUACUCAAGAAAUUGCUAAUUAACAUCAAGGAAAUGUACAUGAAGUUGAGGCAAUUUCAUAAGACUUGACAUACGACAUCAAUCUCAACAGACAUCAAUACAUCUAAGACUUUUCUACAUAUAUGUAUUAAUGAAUUAUUAGACUAAAAUCAGAAAAGAUUAUUAAUUUCAAGUUAACGGUUUGUUUUGUUCUAAUUUGGUCUCCAAAUACCUCUACAAUACAUCUAAGAAGUAAUGCAACUAUUGGAUAAAUGUCAUGUCAUGUAACUCAACAAUAAGCAUAAUAAAUUAAUAAAAGCUCAAACUACAACUAGCAAUACAUCUACUUACUGCUCAUAAUGAAAUAGAAUUAUAGGAACUCAUUCUCACUGGGACCUCGCUUCAAAUUAAAACAUCAUGAAAAUUAACAUAAAGUUAUAACAUCACAGUACAUAACAUCACACUAAUGAACUCCAGCUCCAUCAAAAGAAAAAGGCAAGAGAAAAUUGGAAAUGAAUCUAACUCUGGCAGAUUCAUGCAACAUGCUCUUGCUCAUCCAUUAAAUAAUUACCAUAGAGAUUAAUAUUCCAAGCAUAGUUAUAACAAGAAGGAAAUAGAACGAAGUGAAGCUCUUGACAAUUUACAACGUUAUUCUUUGAAAAUGUGAACUGGUAGCAAGUGAUUCCAUAAGAAUGUCAAGAAUGAGUAUGAUUAAUCAAAUUAGCCAACUGUAGGUUUGUUAUUGUUGAAUUUAUUUUUCAGUGCACUGGCCACCUGCUUGCUGCUAGACUAGUGACAACACUUACGAGGAGAAAAACAUCAGUGUUGCCUUCCAAGUUGUCAACAACACUCUCAAUAUCAUAACAGUAUACCCA
RNAcentral lists this long non-coding RNA (2173 nucleotides) under Olea europaea subsp. europaea. The record is from RNAcentral. Lineage: Eukaryota; Viridiplantae; Streptophyta; Magnoliopsida; Lamiales; Oleaceae.